CACCACGUAUGAAUCUGGAAAAUGCUAGCUGUAUCUGUUCCUUUUUGAAAAGUAAAGGGACACUAUAGGGAGCCAGACCACUUCGUCUCAUUGAAGAGGUCUGGGUGCAGUGUCCCAAUCUCUUUAGAUUUACAGAGUUUUAGAGAAACUGCAAUGUUUAUAUUGCAGUGUUAAGACCAGACAGUAAAGGAACCUCCUGCUGUUUCACGCAGUUUAACUUUGUGAAAUGAUGCUGGGCAUUCUCACACUUUGCAUGAGGAUGUCCAGUAUUUUCAAAUCUCCCAUAGGAAAGGCCCAAUGCAUGUGCUGGAAUCGGGUAAGUGUUUAAAGGGUUGCUAACCCUUUAAUUGCCACAUGAGUGGGGGUGGGGUCAGAGGAUAAUAUAGUGUUAGGAAGACUAUGGACCUUAUCCCUGAAAGGGGCUAUGAUGGUAGCAAUUAAAAAGCAAACUAUUCAUUGUUACUUGAUAACUCUGCAGCGCCCUCUGCUGACUGAAUGGAAGUGUGUACAUUUACAUAAUGCUGGUAUGCUAAUU
Pelobates cultripes (western spadefoot toad) is the source of this 535-nucleotide non-coding RNA. The record is from the annotation of a GenBank genome assembly. NCBI's taxonomy places the organism in Eukaryota, Metazoa, Chordata, Amphibia, Anura, Pelobatidae.